Molecule: ribosomal RNA, 488 nt
Filed under: uncultured bacterium
Lineage: Bacteria
Description: partial 16S ribosomal RNA
Rfam family: Bacterial small subunit ribosomal RNA
Source: RNAcentral
GACGAACGCUGGCGGCGCGCCUAGCACAUGCAAGUCGAGCGGAGUUAGUUUGUAGCUUGCUACAAACUAACUUAGCGGCGGACGGGUGAGUAACGCGUGGAUAACCUGCCUUUUACAGGGGGAUAACACAGGGAAACUUGUGCUAAUACCGCAUAACAUAUAGAAGUGGCAUCACUUUUAUAUCAAAGGAGCAAUUCGGUAGAAGAUGGAUCCGCGUCCGAUUAGCUAGUUGGCGGGGUAAAGGCCCACCAAGGCGACGAUCGGUAGCCGAACUGAGAGGUUGAACGGCCACAUUGGGGCUGAGACACGGCCCCGACUCCUACGGGAGGCAGCAGUGGGGAAUAUUGCGCAAUGGGGGAAACCCUGACGCAGCAACGCCGCGUGAAGGAUGAAGGCUUUCGGGUUGUAAACUUCUUUAGUCGGGGACGAAAGAAUGACGGUACCCGAAGAAUAAGCCACGGCUAACUACGUGCCAGCCGCCGCAGUAA